This 81-nucleotide transfer RNA is filed under the name Legionella pneumophila. RNAcentral describes it as "tRNA-Arg". RNAcentral also lists the same sequence under 1 other name. The record is from RNAcentral. Lineage: Bacteria; Pseudomonadati; Pseudomonadota; Gammaproteobacteria; Legionellales; Legionellaceae.
CACAUGGAGAUAUAUCGGGAUAUUUAUUAAAUCCCCCUCCUAAGGGGCAGGUCGCAGGUUCGAAUCCUGCCCGGGACGCCA